Molecule: ribosomal RNA, 631 nt
Filed under: Amycolatopsis rubida
Lineage: Bacteria; Bacillati; Actinomycetota; Actinomycetes; Pseudonocardiales; Pseudonocardiaceae
Description: partial 23S ribosomal RNA
Rfam family: Bacterial large subunit ribosomal RNA
Source: RNAcentral
AACGGAGGCGCCCAAAGGUUCCCUCAGCCUGGUUGGCAAUCAGGUGUCGAGUGCAAGUGCACAAGGGAGCUUGACUGUGAGACAGACAUGUCGAGCAGGGACGAAAGUCGGGACUAGUGAUCCGGCACCUCCUGGUGGAAGGGGUGUCGCUCAACGGAUAAAAGGUACCCCGGGGAUAACAGGCUGAUCUUGCCCAAGAGUCCAUAUCGACGGCAUGGUUUGGCACCUCGAUGUCGGCUCGUCGCAUCCUGGGGCCGGAGUAGGUCCCAAGGGUUGGGCUGUUCGCCCAUUAAAGCGGCACGCGAGCUGGGUUUAGAACGUCGUGAGACAGUUCGGUCCCUAUCCGCCGCGCGCGCAGGAUACUUGAGGAAGGCUGUCCCUAGUACGAGAGGACCGGGACGGACGGACCUCUGGUGUGCCAGUUGUCACGCCAGUGGCAUGGCUGGUUGGCUAUGUUCGGAAGGGAUAACCGCUGAAGGCAUCUAAGCGGGAAGCCUGUUCCAAGAUGAGGUAUCCCACCCCGUGUGGGUUAAGGCCCCCAAGAGACGAUUGGGUUGAUAGGCCAGAAAUGGAAGCACAGUAAUGUGUUGUCGAGUUGACUGGUACUAAUAGGCCGAGGACUUGCCCACAA